GAUAGCUGCUGCUGCUGCUGCAGCAGCUGCAGCAGCAGCAGGAGCAGCAGCAGCAGCAGCAGCAGGAGCAGGAGCAGGAGCAGGAGCAGGAGCAGGAGCAGGAGCAGGAGCAGGAGCAGGAGCAGGAGCAGGAGCAGUAGCAGGAGCAGUAGCAGUAGCAGUAGCAGUAGCAGUAGCAGUAGCAGUAGCAGUAGCAGUAGCAGUAGCAGUAGCAGUAGCAGUAGCAGUAGCAGUAGCAGUAGCAGUAGCAGUAGCAGUAGCAGUAGCAGUAGCAGUAGCAGUAGCAGUAGCAGUAGCAGUAGCAGUAGCAGUAGCAGUAGCAGUAGCAGUAGCAGUAGCAGUAGCAGUAGUAGUAG
This 356-nucleotide long non-coding RNA is filed under the name Helianthus annuus (common sunflower). RNAcentral's name for it is "hypothetical non coding rna". Lineage: Eukaryota; Viridiplantae; Streptophyta; Magnoliopsida; Asterales; Asteraceae. The record is from RNAcentral.